CUGGGCUCAAUCAGCUCUAAAAAACAUUAUUUGAGGAUCUAGUUUUCAGCAAAGUAUGCAAUUCGUUACAAUAUCAUUAAAUUCAAUAAACCAAAUAAAUCAGUAACAUGAGAGAAUAUAACUAUAUACAAUAGGAAAUGUUUUUUAAAUGUCUAGGAAAUAAUGCCUUUCAGUGCACAAGUAUUUUUUGUGAUUUUUUUUUUUUGCUUCAUUCUUUCUUCCCUCUGUUCUCUGAAUGCUGAAGAGAGAGGAAUGGAGGCUAGAGGUAGUGUCACAUUACCUCAAUGUCCCAUGUAAACCAGAGCCAAGCUUGCUGAGUCCUCUCCCAGAGGAGUUAGUGGUAUAUAGAUAUAGCCCAUCUGUGGCUAGACAGCGUCCCAGGUCAGUAUCUGCAAAACACAGGCACCAAUGGAAUUCAGUAGGAGGUAAAUGAAAGAAACAUCAAAGACAGCUGAAUAACCUGUAGGGGCAGGGAUCAACAAAAGAGUGGACAAAACCAGGCAAGAGAAUUAGGAUGCAAAAAAAGUGGACCAAGUCUUUGUUUUGCAGACUUUUGCAAAUUCAGAAAUAGUGAUGUCUUCAGAGAUCUGAUAAAAAAAAAAAAUUUAAAAAAAAAGACUUAAAAUGAACAGAUCCAUUUAGCUUGAAAAAUAAAUGCUCAGAUUUACUUUAUGGCUCAAUAAAAAUAGAUGUACAGUAUGCCCUGUUCAGCUUCCAUCACACGUCAGAUAGUCAUCUGUGAGACAGAGAGACAUCACUCCACUUCCUCUCUUUUAUCCACUUAAGAUCUUUAGUUUCAACUCAAGACAAAAUGUUUUCUCUAUAUGUGACAUCGAAUGAAACCCAAAGAGGAACAAUGGUCUUUCCACCCUUGAUAAUUGCUUGGAUUUAAGAUGCAUUUCAAACAAGUUCAGUGAAUAAAUAAAACAGGAAGGAAGUAUUAUGAUGGCAAGUGAGACAAGGAGCAUCUUUUCCACAACUUACAUUCCAGAGAACUAAAAACUUUCAACCAUGGCUGCAUAUUAUUUAUAUCUUUUCAUUUUAAGUAUCACAAAAACUUUUUCUGAAAUUGUUUUCUACCUUUACUCUCUGCUCCUCCAGCAGAAUUAUCUGGUGUGGGCAGCAUGUCC
Molecule: long non-coding RNA, 1130 nt
Organism: Astatotilapia calliptera (eastern happy)
Lineage: Eukaryota; Metazoa; Chordata; Actinopteri; Cichliformes; Cichlidae
Source: Ensembl